CUCUCUCUCUCUCUCUCUCUCUCUCUCUCUCUCUCUCUCUCUCUCUCUUCUUUCUUUCAUUCUUUCAAUGGAACAUUAAGGUCUUUGAUCUUCUUUCCUUCCUUUCUCUGUUUUUUUUUUCCUUUUCUUUUUUGUUCCAUCUAUCAUUGGUGAUUUGGCUCUAGGGUUUUGGCUUCAGUCCUAUGUUCUCAAUGUCCUUGCAGGUUACGAUGUUAAUUUGGGGAUAAAUUUGACAGGGUAGCAGAUUGUAAAUUUGGGGGUUAGGGUUUUGGUUUUUUUAUUUCAAUUCAGAUGGGUUGACAUUUUGGUUUGUUUAAUCUUUGUUUGGAGAUAUGAGUGAAAGCAUUAGCAUGAUGGCAAGCAUUGGGAGGCGCAGUACUGUGACUGCGAAGAUGUCAAAUUGAACUACGGCGACUGUUCUCAAUCUUUGGUGGCGACAUCUAACUUGUAUCACUCUGAAUCAGAUUCUAGCAGGUAAUUUCUUGUAACUUUUUUUGUUCUUAAAUAAGAUUUAAUUUGUUACUUUUUAAACUUACUUUUUGUGUUUCAUCUCAGUAGAGAGCCAAAUUGAAACCCCAACAAGUAAGUUGAUUGAUUUGAUUUAUUUGUAGUGAUCGAUGUUGGUUUUCAUCGUAUAAUGCCCUUAAUAAAUUCUUUUCCACCCUUUUUGUUUCCCAAUUGGGCCCUUUGGAUUUCUUGAAAUGUUUACACCUCCAAAGAGCACCAGUUUAGUGUCAAUAGAAGAGAACUUAUUGCGAAAAUAAGACUUUAUUAAUAAUUUUUGUAUUGUACAGUUUUGUUCAUAUUGGUUGAUCAUCAGAUUGCUGGAAAAUUGAAGGACAAUUACAAUUUGGAGCUCUGAUUUUGCCUUCAUUUGAUAGUUGGAUAAACAGACUUAAUACUUAAUAGGACAUGCUAAGUUGGAAGAUAUAGACAAGCUCUUUGAAGUACACUAGCAUAGCUGUGGUUAGCAAAUGAGUCGAGAGACUUAUGAAUGAGAAAAUUUAUCUCCUUCAAAUUGUGACUAAAAUAUGUAAGUUUCAUCAACUUACGUGUGCUCCUGUAGACCGCUUGAUCUUUGAAAUGGUUGUUCAGAGAUAAUGCAAUUAAGUGUUGAUGCUGCUUUGGAGAAGUAAUAGAUAUAGUUUCUGGAUGUUUUGGAGAAGUAAUAGGUUUGUAGGGUUUGUAUUACUAGUACACAAGUACAUAACCUUGUUAGUUGAGACAAUGUAUUACUUGUGCAAUUUUGCAAUAUAUUACAAACAUUACUUGUAUUUAUGCUUUAAUUGUCUUGUUUUUGUAUUACUUUUGCAAGCAGUUAAAAGAUGAAGGAACAUUACAUUCCUGAAAUGCUGUAAUAAAAUGUAUACUAGCAUUAUGAAAUGCUAUUAAAUGGUAUAUAACAACAUUUGAGAAA
Long non-coding RNA from Rosa rugosa (rugosa rose), 1417 nucleotides. RefSeq lists it as uncharacterized. The transcript has 2 exons. Lineage: Eukaryota; Viridiplantae; Streptophyta; Magnoliopsida; Rosales; Rosaceae. The record is from RefSeq and is a predicted model, not a curated record.